This 320-nucleotide ribosomal RNA is filed under the name uncultured eukaryote. RNAcentral describes it as "partial 18S ribosomal RNA". It matches the Rfam family "Eukaryotic small subunit ribosomal RNA", at positions 1470 to 1796 of the family's 1831-position model. The record is from RNAcentral.
CCCCUAGAUGUUCUGGGCCGCACGCGCGCUACACUGAACAGUUCAACAAGUCUUAACCUUGGCCGAUAGGUCUGGGUAAUCUUUGAACGCUGUUCGUGAUUGGGAUAGACCUUUGCAAUUAUGGGUCUUCAACGAGGAAUUCCUAGUAAACGCAAGUCAUCAGCUUGCAUUGAUUACGUCCCUGCCCUUUGUACACACCGCCCGUCGCACCUACCGAUUGAAUGGUCCGGUGAAAUCUCGGGACGGCGGCUUGGUGGCUUGCGUCCGACUGCUGAAACUUGAUUAAACCAUAUCAUUUAGAGGAAGGUGAAGUCGUAACA